CCUACGGGAGGCUGCAGUGGGGAAUAUUGGACAAUGGGGGCAACCCUGAUCCAGCCAUGCCGCGUGUGUGAAGAAGGCCCUCGGGUUGUAAAGCACUUUCAGUGAGGAAGAACGCCUGGUGGUUAAUACCCAUCAGGAAAGACAUCACUCACGGAAGAAGCACCGGCUAACUCCGUGCCAGCAGCCGCGGUAAUACGGAGGGUGCGAGCGUUAAUCGGAAUUACUGGGCGUAAAGCGCGCGUAGGUGGCUUGAUAAGCCGGUUGUGAAAGCCCCGGGCUCAACCUGGGAACGGCAUCCGGAACUGUCAAGCUAGAGUGCAGGAGAGGAAGGUAGAAUUCCCGGUGUAGCGGUGAAAUGCGUAGAGAUCGGGAGGAAUACCAGUGGCGAAGGCGGCCUUCUGGACUGACACUGACACUGAGGUGCGAAAGCGUGGGUAGCAAACAGGAUUAGAUACCCGAGUAGUC
RNAcentral lists this ribosomal RNA (465 nucleotides) under Vreelandella stevensii. RNAcentral's name for it is "partial 16S ribosomal RNA". It matches the Rfam family "Bacterial small subunit ribosomal RNA", at positions 338 to 795 of the family's 1533-position model. Lineage: Bacteria; Pseudomonadati; Pseudomonadota; Gammaproteobacteria; Oceanospirillales; Halomonadaceae. The record is from RNAcentral.